GCCCUUAGCUCAGCUGGAUAGAGCGUCUGACUACGAAUCAGGAGGUCGGGGGUUCGAAUCCCUCAGGGC
This 69-nucleotide transfer RNA is filed under the name Bacillaceae bacterium G1. RNAcentral describes it as "tRNA-Arg". It matches the Rfam family "tRNA". Rfam says of the family: Transfer RNA (tRNA) molecules are approximately 80 nucleotides in length. Their secondary structure includes four short double-helical elements and three loops (D, anti-codon, and T loops). Further hydrogen bonds mediate the characteristic L-shaped molecular structure. tRNAs have two regions of fundamental functional importance: the anti-codon, which is responsible for specific mRNA codon recognition, and the 3' end, to which the tRNAs corresponding amino acid is attached (by aminoacyl-tRNA synthetases). tRNAs cope with the degeneracy of the genetic code in two manners: having more than one tRNA (with a specific anti-codon) for a particular amino acid; and 'wobble' base-pairing, i.e. permitting non-standard base-pairing at the 3rd anti-codon position. Lineage: Bacteria; Bacillati; Bacillota; Bacilli; Caryophanales; Bacillaceae. The record is from RNAcentral.